AAGGGGAAGCGAUAAGCCGCGAUAACAAACAAGUUGAAUGCAUGCGCGAGCGGGCCCCGCCCAACGGUCCUAUUACCCGCCCGAUGAUCGUAUGCCAGCCGUCCGAUCGGCCCUCCUCCUCCGGAUGCGACGAGACCCCGGUCAAAGCGUCCACCCAGGGAGGGGUAACCCUCACCGAGACGUGAUCACCGCCACGGGGUCCAUCGAGUCCGUUCGAGUAGGUGGAGCCCGACUAGCAGCGGCCGGUGCGCCAGCGCAUCGGACGGUUCCGAUGAUUAGAUGCGAUGAUGGGGGCACCGGGUGUUAGGGGGUAAUGAUUCCGGGUGUUGACGAAGGUGGUUUCAUGGUGCGCACGGGAGGGGGAAGUGGCCUGGCGGGGCGGGUAUGGUACGAGGAGGCGUCUCCGUGAGUUAUGGGCUGGAGGUGGGGCCCAUGCAAUCAUGGCCGUGGAUGGGCGAGGGGCAGGAACGCUAGCCGUCGAUUUGCGGUGGGGCAUGGUGUGGGGUUGGAAAGGCCGGGAAGAAUGGGGGUUGUGGUGGUCCGCGAGCAACGUAACGUGCGAUGGAAGUGGAUGAGAUCAUUCCCGAUGGCCACUCGUACCAACCGCCAUGUGGACCAUCGCAAGAACGCAACACUUACGUCGCGUUACGCACCUAAUGUUACGUUGUUGGGUCAUAUGACACCUCUAUUGCUCUUCUGAAAUAUCACCAAAGACACUAUUUCUAACUCUCAGAAAAUAAUAUGAAUAGUGAUGACAUGAUGAGUGACACGCCUCUCAAAGUACAGCGCAUGAUGUGAUUCUAAUGACAAAUGUGUAGCCAUAAUUGCUGGGAAUGUUGGAUGGAGGAGGAGAUGAUUAAGCAAUUAAAACUUGGCUUAACCACUCGCAUGUGCUCCGCACGUGCGUCCAACCAUCCAUCCAUCUUAUACGAUCGUGUGAGAUAUUGAUCCAAGAGUUACUUAAUCGAAUAGGAUAAAUGCGAGUAUCAAAAGGCAAGAAAAGGAAAAAUCCGACCCGUUUAGGCUCCUUCCCGUCGAAUUGGAUUCCGGGAUGGCGUCCGCUGUCCCGUGUUGGGGAGACUCCGGUCUUCGCUCAGGCUUUCGGCGGCUCUUUGAGGUCGUCUAUUUCGAUUCCCUUUGAUCCUUGUCUCCUCGUCCUUGUUGGGUUGUGUGUCUCGAUUUGGAGGAAGGGGAUACGAGAGGCCGCGAGGAGAAACUGGAAGCGGGGGAUUCGCAACGAAAGAGAAAACUUGAAGGAGCUGAAGCUACAGAUUACCUCCUGCUGCUGUUGCUAGUGUUCCAUUCAGUACCAGAAUCCGAGGUUCGUCAAGUCCUGCCGCCGCUGUCCUCUUGCAGAUUGAUAGAACAUGGACGGCACAGCUUAGCCAUCUCUUGACUCGGAUCGCCCCUUCGGAGCUCUCCACAGCUCAAGGCAUUGGUACUCCUGGUGAAGGAUCCUGAGAUCUCCCUGAUGAGAACCUCAACCUGCUCGUGCCGACCACCAACUUCCGAACCUGGCAAGAUGGCUUUCAGCUGCGACGCCAGUUCGUGCAUGACUCUUCCGUUCAUGUCCCGGAAACCCAUCCAUAGACGAGAAAGCCUCAGUUGACUCCUCUCAUAGAUUCUAACAUGGGGGGUAUCAAUCAAUGUAGGACACGAGGUGAUGGAAUCAAAGGGCGCCAAAGUUUCGUCAGCCACUGUGACAACACAACAGCACUGGCGCCUGGUUGAAGAUGGAUAACAUGGAAGCUGAACUGAGAGUUCACGUGGCGAACUGUUCUUUAGUGUCAGUCGAGCUUAAUAAGCAGCAACUCCGAGUGAUGUUUGAAUUGCUUGUGAAGCAUAACUCGAUGGAAAAGUAGAAUUGUAAUUCAUUACAAACGAAGCCAUAAGGGUAGCUACAAAGAAUGCGUAUCCUUUCUACA
Molecule: long non-coding RNA, 1925 nt
Organism: Musa acuminata AAA Group (dessert banana)
Lineage: Eukaryota; Viridiplantae; Streptophyta; Magnoliopsida; Zingiberales; Musaceae
Exons: 2
Source: RefSeq, a predicted model, not a curated record